This 388-nucleotide ribosomal RNA is filed under the name uncultured bacterium. RNAcentral's name for it is "bacterial SSU rRNA". It matches the Rfam family "Bacterial small subunit ribosomal RNA", at positions 29 to 416 of the family's 1533-position model. The record is from RNAcentral.
AUUGAACGCUGGCGGCAUGCCUUACACAUGCAAGUCGAACGGCAGCACGGGAGCAAUCCUGGUGGCGAGUGGCGAACGGGUGAGUAAUAUAUCGGAACGUGCCCAGUCGUGGGGGAUAACGCAGCGAAAGCUGUGCUAAUACCGCAUACGAUCUCUGGAUGAAAGCGGGGGACUCGCAAGGGCCUCGCGCGAUUGGAGCGGCCGAUAUCAGAUUAGCUAGUUGGCGGGGUAAAGGCCCACCAAGGCGACGAUCUGUAGCUGGUCUGAGAGGACGACCAGCCACACUGGAACUGAGACACGGUCCAGACUCCUACGGGAGGCAGCAGUGGGGAAUUUUGGACAAUGGGCGCAAGCCUGAUCCAGCAAUGCCGCGUGCAGGAUGAAGGCC